GCCUGUAGCAUAUGGACAUGUGUGAGAGGAAGGAAGCAAGCCCAACCAUUCUCAGGGAAUGGAUGCCAUGCCCCUGGAGAAGGUCCCUCGAGUUCGGGGAGAGGGGACCUUGACUUAGGAUGAGUGGGAUCCUUGAUGUAUGUGAUGGAGAAGUAUUUCAGCAUGUGGCAGAGACACUGAGAUUUCUUUGGGAAAUCAGAGAAACAAUUGAGGGAGAAGUGGGCUGUCUUCAAGAUAUCAAGAGCCUUUAGGACAGAGCCAGGAAUAAACAUUCAAGGGAGAUUGUGACCAUCUCAAGAGGGAGAGACAGCAAUCUUUUGGUUUAGGAUGUCAAUAUUCUUAGAGACACAGUAAUAAGGCCUGGAAUAGAGGUGGACUCAGGGAGAAGCUGUGCAAUUUCCUGCAGUGUUUCUAGUGCUUGUGCAUCAUCCUCUUAAUAUGUUACUUUUUGUGGGCAAGGGUGGGGGCCAGGUGCUCAGGCUGUAUUGUUCAGAAUGCUUCUUUUGUAUCUCAG
RNAcentral lists this long non-coding RNA (514 nucleotides) under Marmota monax (woodchuck). Lineage: Eukaryota; Metazoa; Chordata; Mammalia; Rodentia; Sciuridae. The record is from RNAcentral.